RNAcentral lists this ribosomal RNA (497 nucleotides) under uncultured bacterium. RNAcentral describes it as "partial 16S ribosomal RNA". It matches the Rfam family "Bacterial small subunit ribosomal RNA", at positions 28 to 507 of the family's 1533-position model. The record is from RNAcentral.
GAUGAACGCUGGCGGCGUGCCUAAUACAUGCAAGUCGAGCGAACAGACGAGGAGCUUGCUCCUCUGACGUUAGCGGCGGACGGGUGAGUAACACGUGGAUAACCUACCUAUCAGACUGGGAUAACUUCGGGAAACCGGAGCUAAUACCGGAUAAUAUAUUGAACCGCAUGGUUCAAUAGUGAAAGACGGUUUUGCUGUCACUUAUAGAUGGAUCCGCGCCGCAUUAGCUAGUUGGUAAGGUAACGGCUUACCAAGGCAACGAUGCGUAGCCGACCUGAGAGGGUGAUCGGCCACACUGGAACUGAGACACGGUCCAGACUCCUACGGGAGGCAGCAGUAGGGAAUCUUCCGCAAUGGGCGAAAGCCUGACGGAGCAACGCCGCGUGAGUGAUGAAGGUCUUCGGAUCGUAAAACUCUGUUAUUAGGGAAGAACAAAUGUGUAAGUAACUAUGAACGUCUUGACGGUACCUAAUCAGAAAGCCACGGCUAACUACGUG